ACAGGCCUCCCCCGCACAGUCUUCACUCAGACAGGCUCCACUUACCCUACCCAGGGCUGGCACUUAUCGCAGGCCCCACCCCAGGGCUGUCCGUCACUCACAGUAGGCUCCACCCCCAGGGCGAUCACUCAUUGCAAGCCUAGGGACAGGGCUCGUGGUAAGUAAAGUCACUCACAGUAGGCCCUCUCCAGGAAAAGCCCCCCAGCGAUGGCGUAGAACACGGCCACGCAGCCGAUGUGGCGCCGGUAGUUCUCAAUGAAGCGCUUGAACUGUUGCACCGUCUGGUGGAGACGGCUGCGUUGGAACUUCUCUCGGUGCGCCUCAGUGAACAGCAAGGGCUGGAAUGACGUUACCCUGGGAGACAGGAAGCCUUAGCCUUUGGCACCCACCAUCGGACCCAACGCUAGUGGGGCCCCACUUCACGGAGGUGAGCCGCCCAGAAGUGAGGGAAGCCCACUGCUUCCGAGAAAGAAACCUAGUUACCCUUGUGGAAGAAGGGUUCAGACCUCACCGCAUCAGGCUAUAUUGCAUUGCAUAAGCAAGCUGGCAGUGGAGGGAUGGCUUGGAGUGGUCAUUUCUUCCCAGGGGAUGCACUCCAUCUACCUGUGUUCAUUCACACUCAGUCCCUCUCCUUCCAGUCUGUAGCUCCCAACUCCCACCCGGCACCCAUAUUCAGCCUUUACUAGAGACUCAAAGGACACCUCUUCCAUGAAGGCAUCUCUGACCUCCCUGGCAGAGGUUUAUUGCGAGAUCAACAAAAGUGGUUGUGUUGAAAAUGUUCUGAAAGCUGAAAUCACCGUGCAGAUAUGAGACACUGACAGCCACCCCCAGGAUAUAUCAGCACCCUUCGUGUCUCAGCACAGGGAGUUCCCAUAGCCCCGAAGGAUCCUGAAUGAGUGGAGAUGCCCAGUCCUGCCUGGACUCUGGGAAGGAGUCACCCAGCUGAGGGUCCCUCUGUUCUUGUACAUAUUCAAAUUCAACUUGUUUGUCCUCAAAUGACUUUAAAUCAUG
RNAcentral lists this long non-coding RNA (1011 nucleotides) under Pan troglodytes (chimpanzee). RNAcentral's name for it is "long non-coding RNA NONPTRT005622". The record is from RNAcentral. Lineage: Eukaryota; Metazoa; Chordata; Mammalia; Primates; Hominidae.